UUCUUUAAAGUAUAUAGAUAGUACAUCAAUUUUGUAAAUUGAAAGAGAAUAAAAAUUAUUCUAAAGAAU
This 69-nucleotide transfer RNA is filed under the name Trichophilopterus babakotophilus. RNAcentral's name for it is "tRNA-Thr". Lineage: Eukaryota; Metazoa; Arthropoda; Insecta; Psocodea; Philopteridae. The record is from RNAcentral.